CCUACGGGAGGCAGCAGUGGGGAAUAUUGGGCAAUGGGCGAAAGCCUGACCCAGCAACGCCGCGUGAAGGAAGAAGGCUUUCGGGUCGUAAACUUCUUUUGACAGGGAAGAGCAGAAGACGGUACCGGUCUAAUAAGCCACGGCUAACUACGUGCCAGCAGCCGCGGUAAUACGUAGGUGGCAAGCGUUGUCCGGAUUUACUGGGUGUAAAGGGCGUGUAGCCGGGCUGACAAGUCAGAUGUGAAAUCCGGGGGCUCAACCCCCGAACUGCAUUUGAAACUGUUGGUCUGGAGUAUCGGAGAGGCAGGCGGAAUUCCUAGUGUAGCGGUGAAAUGCGUAGAUAUUAGGAGGAACACCAGUGGCGAAGGCGGCCUGCUGGACGACAACUGACGGUGAGGCGCGAAAGCGUGGGGAGCAAACAGGAUUAGAUACCCCGGUAGUC
Molecule: ribosomal RNA, 442 nt
Filed under: uncultured bacterium
Lineage: Bacteria
Description: partial 16S ribosomal RNA
Rfam family: Bacterial small subunit ribosomal RNA
Source: RNAcentral